Molecule: non-coding RNA, 74 nt
Organism: Ameiurus melas (black bullhead)
Lineage: Eukaryota; Metazoa; Chordata; Actinopteri; Siluriformes; Ictaluridae
Source: the annotation of a GenBank genome assembly
GGUGGUGGUAGCUCAGUGGUUAAGACGUUGGACUACUGAUCAGAAGGUCAUGAGUUCAAAUCCCAGCACCACCA